RNAcentral lists this ribosomal RNA (375 nucleotides) under Hebeloma rostratum. RNAcentral's name for it is "partial small subunit ribosomal RNA". The record is from RNAcentral. Lineage: Eukaryota; Fungi; Basidiomycota; Agaricomycetes; Agaricales; Hymenogastraceae.
GGACAAAUUAAAAUAAAUAAAUUAAAUAUUUUUACACUAUUUUGUCUACUCCAUUUCUAUUUCUACUUUUGCCUUAUUACUUUAAAUCCUAUAUAGGAACACUUUUGCUUUUGUCUUUGCAAAGCAAAGGAAAAGUAGUAUGUUCCUCCCUAUGACUAAAUAUAACUGCAAAGGUGUAUAUUAAAUAUGGAAAAACAAAAAAAAAGGUAAAAUCACUUAUUUAUAAAUAAUUAUCACUCAAUCCAGUCUUAAAUUAAAAAACAAAAGAAAAAACAAUAUAAUAUAAAUAAUAAUACAAAUUACUAUUUAUAUAAAUAAAGACUUUCUCCUUUUUUUUAUAAAAAAAAAGAGGGAUUGGCUAUGCAAGAACUGGUA